ACGACCGCAAGGUUGAAACUCAAAGGAAUUGACGGGGGCCCGCACAAGCGGUGGAGCAUGUGGUUUAAUUCGAAGCAACGCGAAGAACCUUACCAGGUCUUGACAUCCUUUGACCACUCUAGAGAUAGAGCUUUCCCUUCGGGGACAAAGUGACAGGUGGUGCAUGGUUGUCGUCAGCUCGUGUCGUGAGAUGUUGGGUUAAGUCCCGCAACGAGCGCAACCCUUAUUGUUAGUUGCCAUCAUUUAGUUGGGUACUCUAGCGAGACUGCCGGUGACAAACCGGAGGAAGGUGGGGAUGACGUCAAAUCAUCAUGCCCCUUAUGACCUGGGCUACACACGUGCUACAAUGGGAAGUACAACGAGUCGCUAGACCGCGAGGUCAUGCAAAUCUCUUAAAGCUUCUCUCAGUUCGGAUUGCAGGCUGCAACUCGCCUGCAUGAAGCCGGAAUCGCUAGUAAUCGCGGAUCAGCACGCCGCGGUGAAUACGUUCCCGGGCCUUGUACACACCGCCCGUCACACCACGAGAGUUUGUAACACCCGAAGUCGGUGAGGUAACCUUUUUGGAGCCAGCCGCCUAAGGUGGGAUAGAUGAUUGGGGUGAAGUCGUAACAAGGUAGCCGUAUCGGAAGGUGCGGCUG
RNAcentral lists this ribosomal RNA (638 nucleotides) under Enterococcus faecalis EnGen0099. RNAcentral's name for it is "bacterial SSU rRNA". It matches the Rfam family "Bacterial small subunit ribosomal RNA", at positions 882 to 1520 of the family's 1533-position model. The record is from RNAcentral. Lineage: Bacteria; Bacillati; Bacillota; Bacilli; Lactobacillales; Enterococcaceae.